Arachis ipaensis is the source of this 3092-nucleotide non-coding RNA. Lineage: Eukaryota; Viridiplantae; Streptophyta; Magnoliopsida; Fabales; Fabaceae. The record is from RefSeq and is a predicted model, not a curated record.
GUAAGCAAUUACCAACAGUACAUAAAAUUGUUCUCGUCUACUCUUAUUAUUGAGAGUACCGCUUUUAGUUUUAGGACUUUUUUCCCUAUGCACUUCUCUCAUUCUGCAUCAAACUACCAUCACUCACCGCACUUCUUCUUCGUCGCUUCAUCCCAUCUCUUCGGGUGGAAGCGCCGGCUCUUCACUUUUCCACCACCGCCACCUUUUCCUCCUCCUCACACCACGUUCUACACUGAACUACUCAAUUGAUGUUCUUCGUUGUUGCCUCCUCCUUACUCUGCAUUUUCUGGCGCUGGUUUUCGCCACAAUCUCCGUCUUCGUUGCUGGCUCUACCAUAUACUCUGAUAUCUGGUUUUAGUUUGCAACUGACCUUUUGAUCCUUUUCUCAUUUAAUUUCGAUUGCUUAACUAAAAAAUUCUCAUUUCCUAGGGUUUAUAUAAUUUAAUUGAUAUUAUGAUCCGAUUGGGGAUUUUUUGAAAAUUUCAUGUUAAUUUUGUGAUUUUAUUAUGUGCAAUCUAUUUUGAUUCUCUUGUAAUGAUCAUAAAUCGAAACGCACGUCGAUGUGAUUCAAUAUUUGCUGGUUAACUUGAUAUCUGGCAGAAUCCGUUGCAAUUAGUAUGAUUCUUUGGUAUGUUAGCGCAUUAGAUUCUCUUGAUCAAUAGGUUUGACGAAAGUAACCUGAUUCAUGGUUCAAUUGUUUUUUCUUUUAUUAAUUAUUCAAUGUAGGUAAGUGUAAUGCCUGGUGGGAAGUUCAAAUGAAGGUAAGUACAAUGCUUUAAUGUAUUCAUUCAUUUAUCACUUUAACAUAGGUGAUAUUUUAUUUGAUACUGGUAUGUAUAAUGUAUUCAUUCAUUUAUCAUUCUAAUAACUUGUGACUUGGAAGACAUGUCUUAGAAUUUGAAAUCUUACAAGCAUUCCAAGGAAAAACUUGAUAAGGCAAUUAAGCCAUGAAACCUCCUUUUAGGUAUAAAUGGAAUAAAUUCUUUCACUUUUUUUUUUAAAUUUUUUGGUAUAGUAGACCUUCACAACAUCACUCUGCCUCCUUUUUUCUUUAUGUUUUGUGCACGCUAUCAAGUAUAAGAAAAAUUGUACAAUUGAUUUUCAUGAAUAAAAGAAAAAUUUAGACACAAAUGAAGUUAGUAUAUAAAAGUUAAAACUAUAAAUGUUUGCUGCACAAAUGAUGGUUCACAUCACCCCACACUAAACUGAGAUAGCAUUAUAUGAGAAUCUCUAUAGAAAAUGAAAUCAAGUAAUUGUAUUACAGGUCUAGGUACACUUAUUUUUAAGUUAUCCUUGGCUGCUCGGUAUUAUCUUAUAUCUGGUAAUUAUUGGAUCUUUGACCUACACUAAUUGUUUUUUGUAUCCUUUUAAUUAUUAUGUUUCUGUCUUGUGAUUCUUUUCUAUUGUACAAAUUAGAACUUGCAAUGAAUAUCCACCAUUAUUGUAUUACAGUAUUAGCUUUAUUUAGUAACCGAAGUUGCAUAUUGGUGGUCCUGUUAUUUUUUUUAAAAGUAAAAGAUGAGUUUUAUUUAGGACAUGACAAGGUUGUUUGAGAUUUAUUAUCCUUUAGACAAAAACAACAUAAAUGAUAGAGCCCUUGAGUUAUCUUAAACUAAUGUAGAAUAUGUGUCCUAUUUGGUGACAUAUAGAGGAUUAACAAUUAUAAGGAUAUCAAAGACUCCUUACAAAGAAAGAUAUAUGGAAGUUAGAUACAUGGGAUCGAGUGAGACACUGAAUGAAAAAGAUGUUGGACAGAAGAAUCUCAGUGGUCGAAACCUUGGCUUUUAAGAGCAUUCAAUGCAAUCCUUGGUGAGAGAUAUGACCGAUUUGUAUUUAACAUGAUAGGGUGUAGAAGAUAGACAAUAUUUUCUGGUGUUACUUUAUGAUCAUUUGCAUAAGUUGAGAGUUGAGACCAUCAAUAAUGGCUCAUAAUGAGAGGGUAAAUAUUGAAGUAAAAUAGUGUUUAGCACUGAUAAGUUAAUCUUAGCCGACUAACUUAGACUCAUUUAUCUUCUUCUGUGUAGUAAAAUUAGUUUGUGAUGAUGAAACUACUUAUUGUAUAAUAUAUAAUUGAAUGUUCUUUAUUUAUUUUUUUCACCUGACUUUCUUUAUUUUUAUUCGUGUAUCUCAUUUGUUUUUAUGCACUCAUACAUCUUUGUGCUUCGGUUUUUGCGCCUUACAUGUUUUUAGUGGGGAGGAUUUUGGAAGGUAAUGUUCUAUCUCUUCUAUUUAUAUAAUCAUUGCACUUGUUCGCUUUCAAUAUUUACAUGUGUUAAACUUUGCUAUAUGUCAAAAUGCAUUGUCAAUUUUAAUAUAUUUGUUAAUCUAUUUACAAUAUAUAGAUUGAAAAUGAUCUCUCACAGUUUUUGGGUGCACUAGUAUUGAAUUAGCUGCUAGAGGUCAGUUACUGUUUUACUGAAAUCACAGGUUAACCACCUCUAGUACAAGUUAUAGUGCUCUGACAAAUUCUUCAUUAUUAUUUUGUUCUAACAAUUCUCUAUCACUUGAUGUGUCCUAUUAAUUACCCGCAGUCUAUGCAAAAUGGUGAUCCAGCCUAGAUUGGCUACGUUUUUGCCUUCUCAAUAUUUGUUGGAGUGGUAUGAUACAAAAUCUGAUUAAAUUAUAGAUGAUAAUAUUGUAAUUUUAAUUUUCUGUGAUUAAUGAUAUUGCUGGUUGGAAAUGCUUGCAAUAACCCUUUAUGUCAUGGCAAUGCUUCUUAGGAUCUGUCAUUGGAAUUGGUCAUUGGGAUUGGUUUAUUAAUCUUAGUGCUUCUGAUUAUCUGUUGGUAGCAUAAGAUGGUAUGGUAGUGGCCUUAAUCAAAAUGCUGUGUCAAAAUUUAUGUUUUUUUUUGUUGUUUCAUAAGUAUUAUUUGCAUAAUUAUACUUCUUACUCUUAGCCCUUUCUAUUAAUUGUUGUUUUGUUUAUGUUGAUGAUUACUUUAAUUUUUUUUUUCAAAUCUAAUUCAAGCUUUUAGUGAGGUACCAAGGAAUAUCAAUUUUGUACAACAUAGCAGUCGCUUGGGUUAGAAAUUGUAAGUAGCAUUGUUGAUUUAUUAGAGUUUUGUAGUUUGUUUCUAAAUUAUUCUAACUUUU